ACAAAUAAUCUAUGCAGUGGUGUCACAAAUAAUCUAUGCAGAGGAGUCACAAAUAAUCUAUGCAGGGGAGUAACAAAUAAUUCAUGCAGAGGAGUCAUAAAUAAUCUAUGCAGAGGAGUCACAAAUAAUCUAUGCAAAGAAGUCACAAAUAAUCUAUGCAGAGGAGUCACAAAUAAUCUAUGCAGAGGAGUCACAAAUAAUCUAUGCAGAGGAGUCACAAAUAAUCUAUGCAGAGGAGUCACAAAUAAUCUAUGCAGAGGAAUCACAAAUAAUCUAUGCAGAGGAAUCACAAAUAAUCUGUACAGAGGAGUCACAAAAAAUCUAUGCUGAGGAGUCACAAAUAAUCUAUGCAGAGUAGUCACAAAUAAUCUAUGCAGAGGAGUCACAAAUAAUUUAUGCAGAGGACUCACAAAUAAUCUAUGCAGAGGAGUCACAAAUAAUCUAUGCAGAGGAGUCACAAAUAAUCUAUGCAGAGGAGUCACAAAUAAUCUAUGCAGAGGAGUCACAAACAAUCUAUGCAGAGGAGUCACGAAUAAUCUAUGCAGAGGAGUCACGAAUAAUCUAUGCAGAGGAGUCACGAAUAAUCUAUGCAGAGGAGUCACAAAUAAUCUAUGCAGGGAGUCAACAAAUAAUCUAUGCAGAGGAGUCACAAAUAAUCUAUGCAGAGGUGUCACAAAUAAUCUAUGCAGAGGAAUCACAAAUAAUCUAUGCAGAGGAAUCACAAAUAAUCUGUACAGAGGAGUCACAAAUAAUCUAUGCUGAGGAGUCACAAAUAAUCUAUGCAGAGUAGUCACAAAUAAUCUAUGCAGAGGAGUCACAAAUAAUCUAUGCAGAGGAGUCACAAAUUAUCUAUACAGAGGAGUUACGAAUAAUUUAUGCAGAGGAGUCACGAAUAAUCUAUGCAGAGGAGUCAUAAAUAAUCUAUACAGAGGAGUCAUAAAGGAUCUAUGCAGUGGAGUCACGAAUAAUCUAUGCGGAGGAGUCACAAAUAAUCUAUGCAGUGGUGUCACAAAUAAUCUAUGCAGAGGAGUCACAAAUAAUCUAUGCAGGGGAGUAACAAAUAAUCUAUGCAGAGGAGUCACA
This 1083-nucleotide long non-coding RNA is filed under the name Octopus vulgaris (common octopus). The record is from RNAcentral. Lineage: Eukaryota; Metazoa; Mollusca; Cephalopoda; Octopoda; Octopodidae.